UACGAGGGGAGCUAGCGUUGUUCGGAAUUAUUGGGCGUAAAGGGUGUGUAGGCGGCACUAUAAGUAUUGUGUAAAAUCCCCGGGCUUAACCUUGGGUUCGCAUGAUAUACUGUAGUGCUAGAAUGUGAUAGAGGGAAACGGAAUUUCUAGUGUAGAGGUGAAAUUCGUAGAUAUUAGAAGGAACGUCAGAGGCGAAGGCGGUUUCCUGGUUCACUAUUGACGCUGAGGCACGAAAGUGUGGGGAGCAAACAGG
Molecule: ribosomal RNA, 253 nt
Filed under: uncultured bacterium
Lineage: Bacteria
Description: partial 16S ribosomal RNA
Rfam family: Bacterial small subunit ribosomal RNA
Source: RNAcentral